Homo sapiens (human) is the source of this 913-nucleotide long non-coding RNA. RefSeq lists it as uncharacterized. The transcript has 6 exons. NCBI's taxonomy places the organism in Eukaryota, Metazoa, Chordata, Mammalia, Primates, Hominidae. The record is from RefSeq and is a predicted model, not a curated record.
GAUCUUGCUAUGUUGCCCAGCAUGGUCUUGAACUCCUGUGCUCAGGCGACUCUUCCACCUUGGCCCUCCAAAGCACUGGGAUUACUGGCAUGAGUCACCAUAUCUGGUCAUAGAAACAGGAAGCUGGCGCAUGCAACAGGGUGGGCUACAGGCUUUGAUAGAAUGGUGGCUAACAACAACAACUGGUAUUUGUCAGAUGUCUACACUGUGCAUGGCAUUAUGUCAGGUGAUCUACAAGCUUUACGUCAAUGGAUUCUUACUGAAACCCUUUGAGCAGUUCCCAGAGCUUAUCGCACCAUCUGUGAAAUCUGAAGUAUUGUUGUGAGGAUUCAAUGGAGUAAUAUCUGCUGAUGUGCGAACCACAGAGCCUGCAGGAGAGAGGCAGCAAAGAACAAAUGUCCAUUUCACACCCAGGUGGAAAGGCCCAUUAGAGUCUACCAGUGAGGAAAUCAUUUUCUAAGGGUGAUUACACACGCAGAUGUCAAAACCCUCAGUAAAGCUCAGAGAUCGUUAUUUUUAGUCCCCACUUAAAAAUGGAGAAACUGAGACUUCGCGAGAUCAAGCAAUUUAGGCAAGCCCACACAACAGGUCAACUCCAAACAGGCUUUUUCCUUUGGAUGAGUCCAGCAAUAGAACUGACUACAUAGAUUCCAAGACCUGAAGUCAGAAAACGGAUGCGGACCUCUUCCAACACCUCCUCUCCUUGCCUGACUUGCUGGAUGGGUGGUGCCUCCCGCAACCCUUGGCUUCUGAGUCCUCAAAGGAGAAGACUGGCGAGCAGACGGUGAGGACCCAGCCUGCAAUCACAGCUUAUUACUCUGGGUGUGGGUGGGAGCGCAGUGGGCGGUCGAGGGUUGCGUUCCCGCCUCAAAACAAGGGAUGGCGGAAUCCCCCAACCCCUCCUACCCGUUCA